Long non-coding RNA from Aquila chrysaetos chrysaetos, 305 nucleotides. RefSeq lists it as uncharacterized. The transcript is spliced from 2 exons. Lineage: Eukaryota; Metazoa; Chordata; Aves; Accipitriformes; Accipitridae. The record is from RefSeq and is a predicted model, not a curated record.
AUAAGCUUCUCCUUCCAGGAGACAGCAAAGUCUCCUCUGCAUUUAGCUUCCCUGGUACAUACACUCUCAGUUGAAGAAUGAGAGAAGAUGAAGAUGAAGAAUGAGUUCCUUCAAACUAAGGAAACUUUUGGUCCACAAGCUGCUGAAGAAAGGCACGCAGACAUAUGAGCCGCAGCCCCCCCUCCCGCAGCACUUUGCAAAGCAAGUGAAUAGCCUCGGGCAGGAGGCUUUCUACACGUUGAACGGUCCAAGGCAAGGAGUAGUGCAGGGCAAAGCACCUGGAGAAAUUGGACCUCGUGGCCUGG